GCAAUUCCAGCUUCCCCCAUUGCAACCCAAUUUCCUAUUCUCAUCUCGGUUUCUCUCAAAUGCAGUGCACAAUGCAUUCGUUGUCCCAGCACUCGACAGUGCGAUUUGAGUGUUAAUUCGCAAUCGGAAUGUGCAACUGUUUGUUUGUUUGUUUGUGUGUGUGUGCUUGAGUAGAUGAGAGACGUGGAAUGAAUGCGCGUUGGGGUCUAUUUUUAUCUCGAGCUUCGUUGCACCUGCGCCCCUUCCUCCGCUUUCGGCUGCCUCUUUCCCGGAGCGCAAGAUCUUCUCCCUCCUCUGCCGCGCUUGCUUUAUGUUUUGUUGGUUUUUAUUCUGAAUUGUUGCUAAUAUUGGGUACCGAACUUCGGCUGUCCCCCCCCCAGCUGCCUAGUCCCGCUUCCCCUAUCUUCAUUUGAAUGCUUGGGGAAACGAUGGUGUAAUUUCUGGUGCAUUCAUCACUCAGGCAGCAGUACGCACGCCUUGCGGUAAUGCUGGUAUUGAGUUGUGUGUCGCUGAUCAUGUGAGUUUUUUCUUGUCCUUGACCCCCCCCCCCCCCUCCCCCCCUCUCCUGUGGCUUGACGUCGUCGCCUCUCCUGGGUGUCGGCUUUUCUAAAUCGAAGGAGGAUUUCGUUUACUUUGCCGGCGGUGGAAGCCAUCUCUUCCGACGGCGUGACAAUGGUGCAAGCUCAAUAGCACUGAGGAGACGGGACCGCCCCAUAUGAUAUCAUGAAGGUUACAAUUACAGGAAGCCAGUAAACCUUGGAGCUCGUUUCCUUUCGAUUGCAUUACUGAUAAGAUGUAACUAUUAGCCAUUCUGAGGAGUGAGUGUCAUAUCUACCUGGAAAUCUUCUAGCCUGGAGGUGCCUUCAGCAGCUUGAAGAAUCUGUUUGUCAGAUGGCGCUAGAUGAUAUUGUAAUCAACUUGGAUGCGAACUUCACUGGUGCAUGGGGAGGAGAAAGACGUGAAGUUGAGACACCUCAUGGUCCAAUUUCAGUUCUUCUGUGCGGAGAUCAAUCGAAGCCUGCCCUUGUCACUUACCCCGACGUGGGUUUAAAUUCAGAUCUGGCAUGCUUUGAAGGACUAUUCUCAUGUCCUGAAGCUUCUUCUGUUCUAUUCUACAACUUCUGUAUUUACCAUUUAGACCCGCCUGGCCAUCAGGAUGGCGCAACCGAGAUUCCAGAUAACCAACCCCUUCUGACUGUGGAGGAUUUAGCAGACCAAGUUGCUGAAGUCUUGGACCACUUCGGUGUGCAUGAAGCAAUUUGCUUAGGAGUGGGUGCUGGAUCGUACGUACUAAGCCUUUUUGCGGUUAAGUAUCGAGAACGUGCCAUAGGUCUCAUCUUGGUUUCACCACUUUGCCGGAAACCCUCAUGGACGGAAUGGUUCUAUGAUAAGGCGAUAAUAAAUAUUCUCUAUUAUUGUGGCACGACGAGUUUUGUUAAGGAUGCUCUCUUGCAGCGAUAUUUCAGUCAGGAAGUGCUGGCUUCACCCUUGGGAUCAGAAGUUCUGAAGAAUUUCCGCAAACAUUUAGAGGAUCACCCAAGUAAGAACCUGAUGCGGUACAUCCAAUCUUUAAAUGAGAGGAAUGACAUUACCGAAAGCAUGCGAAAGCUCAAAUGCCGCACUCUGGUAAUUGUAGGCGAAAACUCUCCGUUCCACUGCGAAGCUGUGCAUAUGAGCACUGCGAUGAGUCGGCGAUACCAAGCCUUGAUUGAGGUCCAAGCAUGUGGAACCUUGGUAACCCAGGAACAACCACACUCCAUGUUAGUGCCGAUCGAGUUGUUUCUGAUGUUCUAUAGUUUUUACAAGCGGCCAUUAUCGAUCUCUACACCGACAAGCCCGCUCAGUCCACCCUGUGUUCCUCCGGAGCUCCUCUCCUCUGAGAGCUUGGGCUUGAAACUGAAGCCUAUUAAGACUCGCGUUGCGCAAUGAGGAUCGAUGCGUUACCUACUAAAACUGUGAAUACUUCUUCCUAGCAGGCACUGUUCAAUUUAUCAAUUCCUUUAACACCACAUUAUGACUACUAACCAGUGACCUAAGUACCACCGAGAAAACUUACUGACUGUGGGAGAGAGGCGUAAUGGUGUCCUCGAUGGACCCACAAACAGCAGCUCAACACUCUCACUGCGAGGCCCUUGUAGAGCCCAACCGCCAUACCUACUUCGACGCUCCGGCUCCUCAGAUUCUGUAUUCCUCAGAUUGAUUCCUGCACAUAUACACACACAUACACGUUGCUCGGCGCAUGCAAAUGUUGCUCAUUGCGUGGGUCCCCUUCUCUACACAUCUCCGGCACUGGCUAGGUCAGAAUCUGCACGCGCCCCGAGUUUGUGGGUGCUAUCAUUUAAUUCAUUCUUUUGUUCGUUUUCAAUUUCUGUGUUGUUGCCUAGAUUAGAAAUAUGAGCAAUGUAACUGUCUAUAUUUCUGGAGUAAACGGGACGACGACUUUGUAAUGGGGUAUCCCAGUUUUCUCACAUUACAGAUGUACCAUCUAUGCAGUGUAGAAGGUUAAGGGGUCAGCGAGAUAUUGUCUCACUGGUUGAAAAUUUUGUACUAGGAUUUGGGUGGUUUUUCAAUUCGUCUGUAAAAGAUUUCUCACAUGAUUUUUUUGUAAGCCUUGUCUACACAAACCUCCAAACGUGAUCACUAGAGGUUCUUUGUAUUGUGUUUUAAUCGAAAUGGUCAAUAAAUUUAGUUUUUCUUUCCUUCUUU
Molecule: non-coding RNA, 2706 nt
Organism: Physcomitrium patens
Lineage: Eukaryota; Viridiplantae; Streptophyta; Bryopsida; Funariales; Funariaceae
Source: RefSeq, a predicted model, not a curated record